Molecule: long non-coding RNA, 1017 nt
Filed under: Sorghum bicolor (sorghum)
Lineage: Eukaryota; Viridiplantae; Streptophyta; Magnoliopsida; Poales; Poaceae
Description: long non-coding RNA (SBIC_LNC005518)
Source: RNAcentral
AGGUAAUAGUUCUUCAAAUAUGAUAGUGGCUAAGAUGUUGGAGCCUCCAAAAGUAGCUAGCUAUGCUUGUAAUCUUGCUUGCAACUAGAAGGAUUCUUGUGAUAGGGACUAGGAGGAGGUUAGUCCCAUGGAGAAUAGAAUGGCAUGUGGUUGUAGCUAGAAGAAUGCUUGUGACAUAUGGAUGGUACCGUAUCUAGUAGUCCCAUGCAUGUGUAGUUCAAUGUCUGUCCAUUGUCGAUCAACUACUUGGCUUGAGUGAGCCUAGUCAUCCGACUUGGGUAGACAGAUGCUAGGAGGAAGCGUUGUUGUUGUCAACUUAGUCAGCUACCCUAGACCAAUAGGUGAGGUAAGUAGAGAUGAAGAUGCAAGUAAAAAGCACCCCUUAAGUCUAGACCUAUCCAUGAGGCAAGGCAAGGUGACUCCAAAGAUGGCCUGCUAUAGUAGGACUUCAAGAAUGGGUAAGACAAAUUUUCGAGUAACUGCAUAAGUUGUUGGUCAGCGCUUGAUCUUGUUCAAUGUCUUGUUUAUUGCAGGUCAUGGGGCAUCUAAAAAGCUCCAAGAGAGGAAGAAAACCAUCUCAGCAAAAUAGUAAGUGUAUUUGCCCAAAGCUUAUGUGACUAUGCUACUGUCGAGUUUUUAAUGGUAGCUGCCAUGUAGGAUGCUAAUGCCAGGACAACAUAGUUCAUUAACAUCCAAUGGACUGGUGGUGCAUCUGGGGUAGGUUCUAGAGCUAAUGUGUUUACGGAUGAUGCCUCCUUUAUGACGCUGGUGAUGGGUGCUACCUUCACCUAGACAUCUAGUAUGAAAAGGUUGACUCUAAGUUUCAUGAAGAAAGUGUCCUUUCAAUAAGUUGAUUGUGCCUUUUGAUGUUAUUUGUGGUUAAUCAUGCCCAAAACUGAGUCAAGUGCUUAUCUCUGAUAGAACUGUGCAAGAGCCGCUAUAGGCACCAUCUCCACUGCCCCUAGAGGAGCCGUGUCUCUACACCAGCGUAGGUGGCAAGCCUAGCAUCACAGCCAC